RNAcentral lists this ribosomal RNA (499 nucleotides) under uncultured bacterium. Its description in RNAcentral is "partial 16S ribosomal RNA". It matches the Rfam family "Bacterial small subunit ribosomal RNA", at positions 28 to 507 of the family's 1533-position model. The record is from RNAcentral.
GACGAACGCUGGCGGCGUGCCUAAUACAUGCAAGUCGAGCGAAGUUUUUCUGGUGCUUGCACCGGAAAAACUUAGCGGCGAACGGGUGAGUAACACGUAAAGAACCUGCCUCAUAGACUGGGACAACUAUUGGAAACGAUAGCUAAUACCGGAUAACAGCAUUAACUGCAUGGUUGAUGUUUAAAAGUUGGUUUUGCUAACACUAUGAGAUGGCUUUGCGGUGCAUUAGCUAGUUGGUGGGGUAAAGGCCUACCAAGGCGACGAUGCAUAGCCGACCUGAGAGGGUGAUCGGCCACACUGGGACUGAGACACGGCCCAGACUCCUACGGGAGGCAGCAGUAGGGAAUCUUCCGCAAUGGGCGAAAGCCUGACGGAGCAACGCCGCGUGAGUGAAGAAGGAUUUCGGUUCGUAAAGCUCUGUUGUUAGGGAAGAAUGAUUGUGUAGUAACUAUACACAGUGGAGACGGUACCUAAACAGAAAGCCACGGCUAACUACGUG